This 82-nucleotide transfer RNA is filed under the name Ostreobium quekettii. Its description in RNAcentral is "tRNA-Tyr". It matches the Rfam family "tRNA". From Rfam's summary of the family: Transfer RNA (tRNA) molecules are approximately 80 nucleotides in length. Their secondary structure includes four short double-helical elements and three loops (D, anti-codon, and T loops). The record is from RNAcentral. Lineage: Eukaryota; Viridiplantae; Chlorophyta; Ulvophyceae; Bryopsidales; Ostreobiaceae.
GGGUCGGUGCCCGAGGGGUUAAUGGGGACGGAUUGUAAAUCCGUUGGCUAUGCCUACGCUGGUUCAAAUCCAGCUCGGCCCA